RNA transcript from Grammomys surdaster, 579 nucleotides. It is a transcript of the gene named 60S ribosomal protein L7a pseudogene, with no coding region annotated. Lineage: Eukaryota; Metazoa; Chordata; Mammalia; Rodentia; Muridae. The transcript has a single exon. The record is from RefSeq and is a predicted model, not a curated record.
UGGCAAACAGCUACUCAGCUGCUUAAGCUUGCCCAUAAGUACAGGCCAGAGACAAAGCAAGAGAAGAAGCAAAGGCUACUGGCCCGUGGUGAGAAAAAAGCUGGUGGCAAAGAGGACGUCCCAACUAAAAGACCACCUGUCCUCCAAGCAGAAGUCAAUACAGUCACCACCCUGGUGGAGAACAAGAAGGCUCAGCUGGUGGUGAUUGACCACGAUGUAGACCCCACUGAGCUGGUGGUUUUCCUGCCUGCCCUGUGUCGGAAGAUGGGGGUGCCCUACUGCAUCAUCAAGGGAAAGGCCAGGCUGGGGCACCUGGUCCACAGGAAGACAUGCACCACUGUUGCCUUCACACAGGUUAACUCGGAAGACAAGGGUGCUCUGGCUAAGCUGGUGGAAGCUAUUAGGACCAAUUAUAAUGGCAGAUAUGACGAGAUCCGCCGCCACUGGGGAGGCAACAUUCUGGUUCCUAAGUCUAUGGCUUGCAUUACCACGCUGGAAAAGGCAAAGGCUAAAGAACUUGCCACUAACCCAGGGUUAAAUGUACACUAAAUUUUCUGUACAUAAAUAUAAUUACAAAAU